GAUCAUGGCUCAGGAUGAACGCUGGCGGCGUGCUUAACACAUGCAAGUCGAACGGAACUACUUUGAUGAGAUUCUUCGGAAAGGAUUUGAUUUAGUUUAGUGGCGGACGGGUGAGUAACGCGUGGGUAACCUGCCUCAUACAGGUGGAUAACAGUUGGAAACGGCUGUUAAUACCGCAUAAGCGCACAGUACCGCAUGGUAUGGUGUGAAAAACCCCGGUGGUAUGAGAUGGACCCGCGU
Molecule: ribosomal RNA, 240 nt
Filed under: uncultured bacterium
Lineage: Bacteria
Description: partial 16S ribosomal RNA
Rfam family: Bacterial small subunit ribosomal RNA
Source: RNAcentral